Molecule: unclassified non-coding RNA, 459 nt
Filed under: Aspergillus proliferans
Lineage: Eukaryota; Fungi; Ascomycota; Eurotiomycetes; Eurotiales; Aspergillaceae
Also listed under: 6 other names
Description: sequence contains ITS1, 5.8S rRNA gene and ITS2
Rfam family: 5.8S ribosomal RNA (bases 146-299)
Source: RNAcentral
UACCGAGUGCGGGCCCUCUGGGUCCAACCUCCCAUCCGUGUCUAUCUGUACCCUGUUGCUUCGGCGUGGCCACGGCCCGCCGAAGACUAACAUUUGAACACUGUCUGAAGUUUGCAGUCUGAGUUUUUAGUUAAACAAUAAUUAAAACUUUCAACAACGGAUCUCUUGGUUCCGGCAUCGAUGAAGAACGCAGCGAAAUGCGAUAAUUAAUGUGAAUUGCAGAAUUCAGUGAAUCAUCGAGUCUUUGAACGCACAUUGCGCCCCCUGGUAUUCCGGGGGGCAUGCCUGUCCGAGCGUCAUUGCUGCCCUCAAGCACGGCUUGUGUGUUGGGCUUCCGUCCCUGGUAACGGGGACGGGCCCAAAAGGCAGUGGCGGCACCAUGUCUGGUCCUCGAGCGUAUGGGGCUUUGUCACCCGCUCCCGUAGGUCCAGCUGGCAGCUAGCCUCGCAACCAAUCUUU